CACACACACACACACACACACACACACACACACACACACACACACACACACACACACACACACACACACACACACACACACACACACACACACACACACACACACACGGGUGUUAUACACAUGCUAGAUGAUAUCACAUAUCUGGUAGGCCAUUCAACACUUUCGAACAUAACAAAGCUUAUUUCAACAGUAUUUUAAUUUUAGUCAAAUGUUGCUAAAUAUGAUUUGAUGUAUUUUCAUUUUGAUUAAGAUGUUUGCCUUUUUAAUAAUCUUUUAUGAUGCAGGUUUAUAUCACACAGACCUAUGUGUUAUUACAUGUCAUUUGCUUCUAGAUGCCUUUAGGUGUGUGUGUGUGUGUGUGUGUGUGUGUGUGUGUGUGUGUGUGUGUGUGUGUGUGUGUGUGUGUGUGUGUGUGUGUGUGUGUGUGUGUGUGUGUGUGUGUGUGUGUGUGUGUGUGUGUGUGUGUCACUCAGUCCAGGUUAAUGUUCUCAACAUGUUCAAAGUAUUUUUACACGCUGAUGAGGACCAUCUGGACUCAACAGCCAGGAGAGUCUGACCGUGUGUGACCGUGGUCAUGCAUUUGUUUUUAAUAAAACUUUUAUUUUGAAUCUUAA
This is a long non-coding RNA of Gadus morhua (Atlantic cod), 614 nucleotides long. RefSeq lists it as uncharacterized. The record is from RefSeq and is a predicted model, not a curated record. The transcript has 2 exons. NCBI's taxonomy places the organism in Eukaryota, Metazoa, Chordata, Actinopteri, Gadiformes, Gadidae.